GACGAACGCUGGCGGCGUGCUUAACACAUGCAAGUCGAACGCUGAACCCGCUUCGGUGGGGGAUGAGUGGCGAACGGGUGAGUAACACGUGGGCAACCUGCCCCCGGCUCUGGGAUAACUCCAAGAAAUUGGGGCUAAUACCGGAUGUUACCGCUGGCCGCAUGGUCUGGUGGUGGAAAGGGUUUCCGGCUGGGGAUGGGCCCGCGGCCUAUCAGCUUGUUGGUGGGGUAGUGGCCUACCAAGGCGACGACGGGUAGCCGGCCUGAGAGGGUGACCGGCCACACUGGGACUGAGACACGGCCCAGACUCCUACGGGAGGCAGCAGUGGGGAAUAUUGCGCAAUGGGCGGAAGCCUGACGCAGCGACGCCGCGUGGGGGAUGACGGCCUUCGGGUUGUAAACCUCUUUCAGCAGGGACGAAGCGCAAGUGACGGUACCUGCAGAAGAAGCACCGGCCAACUACGUG
Molecule: ribosomal RNA, 465 nt
Filed under: uncultured bacterium
Lineage: Bacteria
Description: partial 16S ribosomal RNA
Rfam family: Bacterial small subunit ribosomal RNA
Source: RNAcentral